Elgaria multicarinata webbii is the source of this 131-nucleotide small nucleolar RNA. The record is from RefSeq and is a predicted model, not a curated record. NCBI's taxonomy places the organism in Eukaryota, Metazoa, Chordata, Lepidosauria, Squamata, Anguidae.
AUGCACAUCUCAUUGACCUGCUUGCUUUGCAUUAGUAAGCAGUGUUAUUUCUCAUGUGCUAAAGGAUAGCUGAAGGCUAAUUAGCAGCUUUGUUCUAUUUAGUGAUUGCUGCCAGUCUCCUUCAUACAGAG